Rattus norvegicus (Norway rat) is the source of this 1112-nucleotide long non-coding RNA. RefSeq lists it as uncharacterized. NCBI's taxonomy places the organism in Eukaryota, Metazoa, Chordata, Mammalia, Rodentia, Muridae. The record is from RefSeq and is a predicted model, not a curated record.
CGGGGAGAUGGAGAACACCGCCGGAGGCGUGGUCUCGGGACAGCAACUCUUUGCCAAAGCGGGUAGCAGUGGGUCAAGGUGCAGUUUCUAUUAACUCUUGAAGUGGAGACACGUGCGUCUGGAGCGCGCCUUGGUGUUAAGCUGUCGCCAGUGCAGGCUGCCGUGGAUUUGCCUUUGUCCCUCUCUACUCCGAGGCACCACCUGACAAACACUAGCAUCCACCAGGCAAGAGCACAGCCCUCAUGCUCUCGACAUGCUCCUCUUGUUCGCUCAGUCUCCUGCAGGCACUGAGUCUGUCUGUCUAUGAGAGAUGAGAGCACAUGGUCUGGAGCUCUAGCUAAGCAUGGAGAGAGGGGCAUGAAGGCAGCCUCCAGGAGAACCGAAGCUGAGGACCUGCAUCUCUGAAUUCUGGGUCGGGCCCUGAGUUCCCUCAUGCUUUACUCAUGGGUCUCACUGUCAAGAGAGAUUCAGGCAACACUCCUUCAUUAUAUCAGCUUCUGCGUAUGACUACUCACAGGUUAACGCAUUUUAGGCAAAGAGAGAAGCUGAUCUACAGGGAGGGCUGUUCCCCCAGGGAGCUGCUGUCUGUGUUCAUAGAUAAUUAAGGACCCUUGUAAACCUAACCAGUUCGUGUGUCCUGGCAGCUCAUGCAGUGUGGCCCAGGUGUCCGUGCUGUGUGGAUGGGACUCUUGGCUAUAACAGGGAGAUUACCCUUCACUGGCCUCUUUGUGGGCCCUUGAUGAGAGCAGGCAGCUUCUGGAGGAGCUCAGGCAGCUGCCAGCCAUAGCCUACGAAGGCACUCAGGGCUGCUGCCCUAGUUCAGGAUACUGUUUAUUUUCUAGUCUACCCCAACCAGGAUAGCUUCCGUGCCUGAGAAUCAUAAAAGCCUCAGGAUAUCGCCUUGGGACCCACAUGGCUUGAAGUGGCCUUGGUACCCAGCAGUGGGUUAGAAAGUGCUCCUGAGAGAUGGAGUUUCCAUAGCAUUAGAAACAACAGGCCAGGUCAGGCUACGUGGUCCCUAGAGUAGAACUCGGAGACUCAGGAAGAACUUUACAAUCAUGUAUUGUCAUCUUGUCACCUCAGUGAGCUAAGUAAAGUCACCCAGCCCCCAA